Long non-coding RNA from Vespa velutina, 1122 nucleotides. RefSeq lists it as uncharacterized. Lineage: Eukaryota; Metazoa; Arthropoda; Insecta; Hymenoptera; Vespidae. The record is from RefSeq and is a predicted model, not a curated record. The transcript has 2 exons.
UUUUCUCAAUCUCUGUUGUGUCCCAGAUUGCUUUCCAGCUUGGAUGGCGAAACGCGUAAUAACGUUUCAUUCUGACGCACGUAAUUUAACGUUUUAUUCGCGCGGAGAAAUAUAUCUUUUUUUUUUCUUUACAUUUUGUGCGUCGUCGUGGUAUAUAUAUAUAUAUGUACAUCGUACGUAUGUAUAUAUAUAUAUUAUAUAGUUAUAUAGAUUAUCUAGUUCCGUGUCGAGUUGCUUUCAUUUGGUACGAUCGCGUAUGACAAAAUGGCGGACGCGGGAGCUUUCCCCUUUACGGUAACAAAAAAGAAAAAGUAAUCCAACGACAUCAGACGGAAAAUGAGUGUUGGCAUUUUUUACAAUUGUACUACCAGCGUGACGUUACUAUGAUAAAACAUUUGAGUGUAAACUUUCAAAUCCGUUUUUGGACAGCCGAGAAUCUUCCUCGUACAUUCAUUGCAGCCGAAUUCUGGUUAGUCAAUUGUUCACGAUUGACAAUAAUGUACGCUUACCUGGAAUCUGUGAACUGAACCGUGAAGCCUUAUGAAUGACUUCUGAGUCUGAAUUUUAUGAGAAGUCAACGUCAAGUUCAAGUCCGUCAUGUUUCGUCACUACACAAGCACUGGAAGUCGAGUCAAUUGCGUCAGAUCAAUAAGUCUCGCACAGACACACACUUGCCUGCUGGGUCACGCGUAGAGUAAUUUCUGAUACGAUGUCAAUGCUGUUUGGGCGUGAUCAAAGCACAGAGUCACUAGGGCCAAUGCGAAAACCUCCGAUAGGUCGGAAUGCCAUUAACUCAGUUUAUGUGGCUUGGUCUGCAGGUGGCAAACGACCCAGUGCGAUUAUGGCGGGCGGCUCGCAACCGGCUAACCGUGACCCGACCAACAACUGAUAAGCGGCGAGUGACUGGUGCCCACGGUAUUUAUCACCAGCCCUAGAUGAUAUACGAAAGAUCAAUAUUUAAGUACAAACAACUACCACCAAACUGCCAGAAAAAUGAAAUCAUAUUGCAGCUCAUAAUUUGAAUAUGUAGAAUGGACGAAAAGUAUAUCAGGACUUGAAACAAUAAUAAUAUUUUGCCGAUGACUAUAUAAACAAAGAAACAAAUAUAUUAUCAUAUACAAA